Non-coding RNA from Xenia sp. Carnegie-2017, 72 nucleotides. Lineage: Eukaryota; Metazoa; Cnidaria; Anthozoa; Malacalcyonacea; Xeniidae. The record is from the annotation of a RefSeq genome assembly.
UUCCAUAUGGUCUAGUGGUUAGGAUUUGUGGUUUUCACCCACAAGGCCCGGGUUCAAUUCCCGGUAUGGAAA